Molecule: long non-coding RNA, 625 nt
Organism: Myotis myotis
Lineage: Eukaryota; Metazoa; Chordata; Mammalia; Chiroptera; Vespertilionidae
Exons: 3
Source: RefSeq, a predicted model, not a curated record
UGCACACGUGUGUUUGGCCAAAUCUGGAUACCAUCGCCUCUCCAGCUGACAUAUAAAGUGAACCAUCACACCAGCAAACCACUGGGAGACCGAAGUUUCCCAUACUGGUUUGUCCACUCUGAAAAACACCGAAGUGUUUACUUGAGGUGUCAUGCAGCCAAGAACAUAUUCUGGUUCAGAGAUACGCCAGCCUGAUAAGCUCCUGGUGAACCUGACUUCUUUUCCCAGCUGGGCUGAAACCAGAGUCAGGACACUUACAAUGAAGAAACUGCCUUGUGAAGUUCCCCCAGACCCACCACGUUGAGGCAUGAAGCGCAGAGAUUGGGCAGGUCCUGCGCACACCUGCUGGCUGCCUAAUGGACCCAGAGUGCAUUUCCUGAGCCACCAUUCAUCGCACUUUGCAGCUCAAAUGGCAGGACUCUUCCGGGAAUUAUUUCCCCUCCCCCCCGCCGGAGCUUCAAUGUUAACAACGGGGUCACCGACCACGAAGAGGGGUCUCCGAGGUGUCUGACCACGGGGCUCGGGUCUGACCACGGGGCUCGCUGCACUGCGCCGCCGCCGGGGCCGCCGCGGAGUCAGGGCCUGGGCAGGGCUGGGAUGAUCCGUGGAGAGCCCGCACCCUGAC